This 73-nucleotide transfer RNA is filed under the name Camelus bactrianus (Bactrian camel). It matches the Rfam family "tRNA". From Rfam's summary of the family: Transfer RNA (tRNA) molecules are approximately 80 nucleotides in length. The record is from Rfam by way of RNAcentral. Lineage: Eukaryota; Metazoa; Chordata; Mammalia; Artiodactyla; Camelidae. RNAcentral also lists the same sequence under 2 other names.
GAAGGAAUAGCUGAAAUGGUACAGCAUAUGCUUAGCAUGCAGGAGGUCGUGGGUUCAAUUCCCAGUACCUCCU